CGUACACUCCUGCGGGAGGCAGCAGUGGGGAAUUUUGGACAAUGGGCGCAAGCCUGAUCCAGCCAUGCCGCGUGCGGGAAGAAGGCCUUCGGGUUGUAAACCGCUUUUGUCAGGGAAGAAAAGGUUCUGGCUAAUACCUGGGACUCAUGACGGUACCUGAAGAAUAAGCACCGGCUAACUACGUGCCAGCAGCCGCGGUAAUACGUAGGGUGCAAGCGUUAAUCGGAAUUACUGGGCGUAAAGCGUGCGCAGGCGGUUAUGCAAGACAGAGGUGAAAUCCCCGGGCUCAACCUGGGAACUGCCUUUGUGACUGCAUGGCUAGAGUACGGUAGAGGGGGAUGGAAUUCCGCGUGUAGCAGUGAAAUGCGUAGAUAUGCGGAGGAACACCGAUGGCGAAGGCAAUCCCCUGGACCUGUACUGACGCUCAUGCACGAAAGCGUGGGGAGCAAACAGGAUUAGAAACCCCUGUAGUCCCAUGAU
This 480-nucleotide ribosomal RNA is filed under the name uncultured organism. RNAcentral describes it as "partial 16S ribosomal RNA". It matches the Rfam family "Bacterial small subunit ribosomal RNA", at positions 330 to 801 of the family's 1533-position model. The record is from RNAcentral.